AGUUUCUGCGCGCGAAACGUGUUCAAGAUCCGGCAUAUUUUACACUCCCCGUACUAUUGUUGCAACGACAAUACCGAAUGUUGCUCCGCCCUGAGCGCAGGGAUCAUUGCGGCUAUUGUGAUCGGCAGCGUUGUCGUCAUCACGGCAUGCGUGGUCGGCUGUGUCUGCUGCUGCUGCCGCCCUUGUAAAGCUGCCCCUGUUCAGGUGCUGCAACCAAAUGCCGGUACUCAGAAGUUUGUUGCAAGCGUCAAUCAACAGAACUCCACCGUCGCCGCCCCACAGUACCCCGCGCAAUAUCCGGCGCAGUAUCCGUACCCUGCCUACCCGCAGGGGCAGCAGCAGCCUCAAUAUCCGGGACACCAGCAGCCGCCGACGCAAUAUCCGGCGGCAUAUCCUCCACCCGCUUACAACCACGGGCAGCCGCCCCCGGGCCAAGACGUUUCGCAGACACUCCCGGCUAAGAUUCAAUAAAUCGAUGGGAUUGUAAGAUCCCACUGAAACAUCCAGUACAUACGGGGUGACGACACGAGACAUUGAUAUCAUGGGAUCAUUAUAAAUGUAUGCUUGCGGAUUGUUGUUGCUAGAGAAUGUGUACGCGUUCGUUAUCAUGCAUUAAGGUUACAUUACACUAUAUAAUCAAGUCAGCUGUACUCUCUAAAAAAAACAUCACAUUUUUACUUGAAGGCAUGUUUUAUACUUUAGACUGUUUUUCUCACUGACCCGUAGUGCCUGAUCAGCGCUGUGGUUCCACCGCCCUGAGAGUGUCCUGUGAUUAAAGGAUGCAACACUUGUUGAUGGGCGGCUCCAUCUUUUAUGUUUUGGACAUAUU
This is a long non-coding RNA of Dreissena polymorpha, 829 nucleotides long. RefSeq lists it as uncharacterized. The transcript is spliced from 3 exons. The record is from RefSeq and is a predicted model, not a curated record. Lineage: Eukaryota; Metazoa; Mollusca; Bivalvia; Myida; Dreissenidae.